UCGUUUUAUGUCGCCCGCCACAUCAUUUUAUAUGGCCUCCUUUAUCGUUUUAUGUCGCCCGCCACAUCAUUUUAUAUGGCCUACUUUAUCGUUUUGUCGCCCGCCACCUCAUUUUAUAUGGCCUCCUUUAUCGUUUUAUGUCGCCCGCCAAAUCAUUUUAUAUGGCCUCCUUUAUCGUUUUAUGUCGCUCGCCAAAUCAUUUUUUAUGGCCUCCUUUAUCGUUUUGUCACCCGUCACAUCAUUUUAUAUGGCCUCCUUUAUCAUUUUAUGUAACCUGUCACAUCAUUUUAUAUGGCCUCCUUUAUCGUUUUGUCGCCCGCCACAUCAUUUUAUAUGGCCUCCUUUAUCAUUUUAUGUCGCCCGCCAAAUCAUUUUAUAUGGCCUCCUUUAUCGUUUUAUGUCGCCCGCCACAUCAUUUUAUAUGGCCUCCUUUAUCGUUUUAUGUCGCCCGCCACAUCAUUUUAUAUGGCCUACUUUAUCGUUUUGUCGCCCGCCACCUCAUUUUAUAUGGCCUCCUUUAUCGUUUUAUGUCGCCCGCCAAAUCAUUUUAUAUGGCCUCCUUUAUCAUUUUAUGUCGCCCGCCAAUAAUUUUAUAUGGCCUCCUUUAUCGUUUUGUCACCCGUUUUACAGCCACUGUCAGAAUAAUGUAUCUAAGUUAUCACAAAACUUUGUGUUUCCAUGAGUUCCUGGCGAGAGGACAAAAGCUGUCUUUGAUCCUACCAAGCAAAAGGGCUUGUAAAACUCCUCUGUGUAGGAGGGGAGGAGACAGGAGGGGUUCAGUUUCUUUGAUCUAUUGUAAUCCACAGGAAGAUCUUGUCUUGACCCGAGAGCUACAAAGCGGGGAGGAAGCAGGACCUGACCCACCUCCAGGCAUCUUUUUCUUUAACUUUUUUGUGACCAAUGGCGACGGCUGUUUACGACCCCCCGUCCCCUUAAAAUCAGCUGUUGCUACGUAAUCAGGCAAAGUCCAAAUAAAAGAGGAGGCGUGCAAUCCUCUUGCCUGGACGUGGUGGAAGACUGUACAGAGAAUACAGCCCAGACGUUUCUCUUCAGUGAGCUAAUUUGAAUUCUGUCUCUGUUUAAUUCCUUGCUUCUUGUCUGUUUUAAUAGAUGUCAUCAGUGUUUGAACCUGACAGACACCGUUUGGAAACAUUUAAGGGUGUACCCCGCCUUCCGCCCGAAUGCAGCUGUGAUAGGCUCUGCGCCCCCCCAAAAAGGGACAAGCGUGUCUCAGGUGGAAAUGAAAGCCGUCCCACCUUCCUGGUAGUUGUGCGCUCCGUCUGGAAGAGCCAGGAAAGGAAGGUACUUCCACUCCUCGGGCAGCCUGUUGCUGUCGUGACCUUCGUGCGGCAUCAGCGGCGGGUAGGAAAACUCCACCUGCCGUGAAAACGGAGGAAAAUAUUGUAGGUGGCAAUGAUGAAUCAGCAGUUUACACACACUUUGUUUUUUUUAAAUAACUAUGCAAUUACUCCUCAUUGUCUUGUUCUGCUUUAAAAAAAUUAACAUUCCAUGGUUUUUCACAGGAGGUCCCGGAAGUACAGUAAACUGCAAAAACUGCAAUCUAAGUACAAA
This is a long non-coding RNA of Nerophis ophidion (straightnose pipefish), 1572 nucleotides long. RefSeq lists it as uncharacterized. The transcript is spliced from 3 exons. The record is from RefSeq and is a predicted model, not a curated record. NCBI's taxonomy places the organism in Eukaryota, Metazoa, Chordata, Actinopteri, Syngnathiformes, Syngnathidae.